RNAcentral lists this ribosomal RNA (223 nucleotides) under uncultured euryarchaeote. Its description in RNAcentral is "partial 16S ribosomal RNA". It matches the Rfam family "Archaeal small subunit ribosomal RNA", at positions 286 to 509 of the family's 1478-position model. The record is from RNAcentral. Lineage: Archaea; Methanobacteriati; Methanobacteriota.
GAGCCCGGAGAUGGAUUCUGAGACACGAAUCCAGGCCCUACGGGGUGCAGCAGGCGCGAAAACUUUACAAUGCUGGAAACAGCGAUAAGGGGACCUCGAGUGCCAGGUUACAAAUCUGGCUGUCGUGAUGCCUAAAAAGCAUUGCAUAGCAAGGGCCGGGCAAGACCGGUGCCAGCCGCCGCGGUAACACCGGCGGCUCGAGUGGUAACCGUUAUUAUUGGGU